GUUGUAUUAUAAACUUUUAUAUAUUUCAACAUGAACAAUAUAUAUUCAUUGUUUAGAAUAUUAUUAUUCCAUGACAGAGCUCGAAGCAUAGAAUCAUAAAAUACAUUUAUUUAAAAAGUUUAAAUAAGUAGAAUUAUUCACUCUUCUUAUAAGCUUAUAGGUUCCCUUCAAGACAAAUUCCUGCAAAAUUGAAUAAUUUGAAUGUUAAUGAAAAUAAAUAAAAAUUAAUAAAAUAAAAGGUUUAAUGAGGAAGAGAUAAGUGAGUAAUUAAUAAAUAAUAAAAAUGAAAAUACCUUCGUUUUGAUCUAAUGAUUACAAACGCAGUAACCAUCAAAACACUUAACAACUGAUGCUCCACAAGGAAGAGCACGAAUGUUCUUAAGACAGUCUUGCUUUGUUUGACAUGCAACCACAACUAUAUCACUUCCCUCUGUGUUUUCUUCCAUCGAAAAUGAAUUCCCUAAAACAUCAAAUUUUAUGUUUUUAUUCUGUUUUUUUAUCAACAAUAAAUAAAUAAAAUAAAAGAGACACUUCAUCGGUGUCCCAACUCUUAUAAAAAAAACUCAGACCAAACUUCUUAACACCCAACUAACUGAAGAUUCAACAUACUCUACAAAACAUCAACAAGAGUGAUAUAGACAUGACGAGACUGAUAUAAGACAUGAUCAGAUCAGAUCAUAAUACAAUUACAUCAUCCCUCCAAGACACGUUCUUACAAAAUAAGACAGAAUAAAUAUCACCCUACAUCAUUCUCCAACAAUUAAAUAGAAUUUUUGCAAGCGAGCAAAAACAAAUCAAACACCCAAAAGCGAUAAAUAUCAAACAAAACCUGCAAUAAUGAAAAAAAAGGGAUAAAUGAAUAUACCAACACAAACUUCCAUGGCAAGAAUUACAAACACAACUGCCAAUAGUAAACUCUUCUUCGACAUAUCUUCUCCAACCUGCAAUCUCAAUAUAUGAUGAUACAAUUCAAAGCUGAGAACUUUGUAUGUAUGAUAAUUUUGUGCUUCUUAGGCUCAAACUUUGUCCUAUUUAUACAAGAGGAAAAGAUUAUUUUAAUAUUAUAAUUAUAUUAUAAAAUAUUAUAAAAUAAAAUCUUAAUUUAUUUAUUUAUAAAUAUUAUUACACUACACAUUCUUUUUAUAUAUAAAAAGUUUUCAUGCUAGGCAUCACUAUGGAACUAGACAUCUCAGCUAGGCUGACACCUCAAUUAAUAACAAUCAUCUGCCAUCACAUGAAAAUAUUACAUUACACAUUUUUAAGACUUUUAAACUUUUACUUUUAUAUAUAAUAUAUAAUACAAAUAUAGUAAAAAUUCAAUAAUGUUUAACACUGAUUUAGAAUAUAAAGAAGUUGGUAUGUAAAACUUGGUAAGUAAUAUAAAUAUCAAUUUAAAAAUUAAUUUAUAAUUUUUUAUUAAUAAUAGACAUUACUGUAGAUAUCAAUAAUUUUUUAGUUUAUAAAAUAUUAUUUAAAUUAAUCAAUAUAAUAAUUAAUUAUUUUUAUCUUUAAAAUUAAUUUUAAUAGUUGUUUUAAAAUAAAUUCUUUUCUAAUUUUUAUGACCAUAAUCUUAAUUAAAAUUCAUAAUAUUUAAUGUUAUAUUAAGUUAACGUACUUUAGCAAGGAAAUUUUAUAAAACUUAAAUCUUCAAUUUAUAAUUUUAUAUACAAUAUAUAGAAUACAAAUGUCAUAAACACUUCAAUUUUUUCCCUACAUUUAAUUAGAACAACUGUGUUAUUUGAUAUAGUUUAAUAUUAUGUUAUUAAAUAUUAAAUUUGUAAUCAAUGCUUUUUUCCCACUUUCCUAAAUCUCUUAUUUUUGUUACUUGUAUUUUAUCGUAUUUUAUCUACCUCAUAAUCACAUCCUAUAUUAGAGAUUAUUUCUCUCAAAUCAUAUUUUUUAAACAGAGUAAGUUCAUCUUUACUUUAAAUAAUUGUUUAGAAAUUGUGUUAUUGAAAUUUUUUAAAAUAUUUAAAAACACAUUUGAUUAUGCUAUAGACAUUGAUUUUCUGAUUUUAAGAUAUAAUAAUUUUUUAUUAUAUAAUUAAAAAAUUACUGAAUUUUUAGAAAAUAACUUCUUAUUAUAUAUAAUUAAAAAAAUGAAUACAUUAAAAUUAUUUUAAAUUUUUAAUAAAAUUAAUGAUGUAAUACUUUAAUAAUAUAAAAUAAUAUAAGUUAAUAUUUUUAAAUAGACAACUUAUAUUAUUUAUAUUAUUAAAGUAUUAUAUAUAAUAACUUAAAAUAAUUAACUUAUAUAAAGGAGAAAUUAGAUAUUCAAAUUUAAAUUAAAUUAAAAAGAAUAAACAAUGAUAAAGAAGUUUAUUUUUUACACUUAAAUAUAAUAUAUUAAUAUAAAAAUUAAACAAAAAAUAUAACAUUUUUAGCAUCAACUCGAGUGUGUUCAAAUCGUAAUUAUUCAGAUUUCAAAAGUUUUAUGGUAAAUCUCAAUGGCAUUGUAAAUUAAUAUCAAGUUAUUUCUAACUAAUUCUACUUAUUUGGUAUAUAACAUUUCAUCCCAUUAACUUAAUUUCACUCUUAUUGAUGUUCAAAACAUAAUUAUCAAUCCAAGAAACAUCAAUUAGUUCUUACAUAAUUAUCCUCUUUUGUAAAAAGCAAUGCAGAUAUUAAAAAUAUGGUGCAAAUGGUAGAAGUGGGGUGAAAAUAUUAAUAGUAGGACUGAUUCUUCCUACACCUCCAUACGUUUUGGUGUCACCCCAUAAAUUUUUGUAUUCCAAUUAUAUCGUUUUUUAAUAUUCUGGAUUACAUAAUCCACAAGUAUUUUUCUAUAUUUGUAAUUAGCUUCCGGAUUAUGUAAUUUGGAAGUCUUUUGAGAUUAGCUUCCAGAUUACAUAAUCCAGAAGUCUUUUCUAUACAUGGGAUUAUCUUCUACAUUACAUAAUUUGGAAGUCUUUUCUAGAUUUCAAAUAUUCUAGAUUUGAUAUUGGCUUUUGGAUUACGUAAUCCAAAAAUCUCUUUUCAAAUGCGUGAUUAGUUUUAGUAUGUAUAAGUAUGUCUUCAUUAUCAUGCAUAUUAAUUUUAGUCAAAGUUGUUUCUAAGUCUUUAAUGACUUCGUAUACAAAAGCUAUAUUCAUUAUUUAUCACGUGAUAUAUUUAUUUUUAUUUACCUAACUCAAAGUACUAUUACAACUUCAAUAUCUUACCAAAUUACUAAUUAAUACUUACAAUUUUCAUUAAAAAAGUUCAAUGCUAAUUUUACUUUAUUUUAUUUCAUAAUCUUUAAUUAAAAAAAUUAAUAUAUAAUUAUUUCCUUUAUUUGAUUACUGAAUAGUAAAAAUGUUCAUAUUAAAAAGGGAAAUAGAGAUACUUAUGUUGUAUUAAUCACUUUUAUAUAUUUCAACAUGAACAAUAUACUUGUUCAUUGUUUCAGAAUAUUAUUAUUCUAUGACAAAGCUUGAAGCAUAGAACCAUAAAAUACAUUUAUUUAAAAAGUUUAAAUAAGUAGAAUCAUUCACUCCUCUUAUAAGCUUAUAGAAUCCCUUCAAGACAAAUUACCUGCAAAAUUAAAUAAUUUGAAAGUUAAUGAAAAUAAAAAAUAAAAUAAAAAAUAAAGGGUUUAAUGGGGAAGAGAUAAGUGAGUAAUUAAUAAAUAAUGAAAAUGAAAAUACCUUUGUUUUGAUCUAAUGAUUACAAACGCAGUAACCAUCAGAACACUUAACAACUGAUGCUCCACAAGGAAGAGCACGAAUGUUCUUAAGACAGUCUUGCUUUGUUUGACAUGCAACCACAACUAUAUCACUUCCCUCUGUGUUUUCUUCCAUCGAAAAUGAAUGCCCUACAAAACAUACAAUUUCGUGUUUAUAAAACAUUUUUUAUCAAUAAUAAAUAAAUAAAAUAAAUGAGACACUUCACGGAUGUUCCAACUCUUAUAUAAAAAAACACAUAUCAAACUUCUUAACACCCAAGUAAGUGAAGAUUCAUCAUACUCUACAAAACAUCAACAAAAGUGAUAUAUACAUGACAAGACUGAUAUAAGGCAUGAUCAGAUCAUAUCAGAAUACAAUUACGUCAUCCCUCCAAAGAAGACACGUUCUCACAAUAAGACAGAACAAAUACCACCAUAUACCAUUCUCCAACAACUGAAUAUAAUUUUUUGCGAGGGAGAAAAAUAAAUCAAACACCCAAAAGCCAUAAAUAUAAAAAAAAUCUGCAACAAUGCAACAAAAAUUAAGUUUCAUUGAUGAAGGGAUAAAUCAAUAUACCAACACAAACUUCCAUGGCAAGAAUUACAAACACAACUGCCAAUACUAAACUCUUCUUCGACAUAGCUUCUCCAACCUACAAUCUCAAUAUAUGAUGAUAAAAUUCAAAAUUGAGAACUUUGUAUGAAUGAUAAUUGUGUGCUUCUUAGACUCAAACUUUGUUCUAUUUAUACAAGAGGAAAAGAUGAUUUUAAUAUUAUAAAAUCUUAAUUUACUUUUUUUUAAAAAUAUUAUUACACUACACAUUUUUAAGACUUUUAAACUUUUAGUUUUAUAUAUAAUAUAUAUAAUACAAAUACAGUAAAAAUUCAAUAAUGUUUUAUUAAUAAUACACAUUAACGUAGAUAUCAAUAAUUUUUUAGUUUACAAAAUAGUAUUUAAAUUAAUUAAUAUAAUAAUUAAUUAUUUUUAUUUUUAAAAUUAAUUUUAAAAGUUGUUUUAAAAUAAAUUCUUUUUUAGUUUUUAUGACCAUAAUCUUAAUUAAAAUUCAUAAUAUUUAUUGUUAUAUUAAGUUAACGUACUCUAACAAGGAAAUUUUAUAAAACUCAAAUCUUCAAUUUAUAAUUUUAUAUACAAUAUAUAGAAUACAAAUGUCAUAAACACUCCAAUUUUUUCCCUACAUUUAAUUAGAACUACUGUAUUAUUUAAUAUAGUUUAAUAUUAUGUUAUUAAAUAUUAAAUUUGUAAUCAAUGCCCUUUUUCCACUCUCCUAAAUUUCUUUUUCUUGUUAUUUCUUCAUGUUUUAUCUACCUCAUAAUCACAUCCUAUAUUAAUUAGAGAUUAUUUCUCUCAAAUCAUAUUUUCAAAAAAGUAAGUUCAUGUUUACUUUAAAUAAUUAUUUAGAAAUUGUGUUAUUGAAAUUUUUUAAAAUAUUUAAUAACACAUUUGAUUAUGCUAGAGAUUUUAUGAUAUAAUAAUUUUUUACUUUAUAAUUAAAAAAUAGUGAAUUUUUAGAAAAUAACUUUUUAUUAUAUAUAAUUAAAAAAAUGAAUACAUUAAAAUUAUUUUAAAUUUUUAAUAAAAUUAAUGAUGUAAUACUUUAAUAAUAUAAGUUAAUAUUUUAAAAUAGUCAACUUAUAUUAUUUUAAAUUAUUAAAGUAUUAUAUAUAAUAACUUAAAAUAAUUAACUUAAAAUAGUUAAGUGAACAUAAUUAACUUAUAUAAAGGAGAAAUUAGAUAUUCAAAUUUAAAUUACAUUAAAAGGAAUAAACAAUGAUAAAGAAGUUUAUUUUUUACACUUAAAUAUAUUAUAUUAAUAUUGUUGGGUAUGAAGUCAAAACCAAUUGGGUUGGGCUGAAACAGUUGAAGCGUAGGUGAACAUUAUUCCGUGACUUCAAGUGGAGAUUGUUGGGUAUGAAGUCAUGACCAAUUGGGUUGGGUUGAGCAGACACCAUGUUUUAGUGAGUGGGUUUAAUCAUUAUGUCCCUUUAUUAUCUCUAUUUAUCUAUAUUUAAAGAGAUAAUUGUACUUGUAAUUGGUACGCAACAGGAAAGAAAUGGAUGUAGGUUGCAGUUGGCGAUCGAACCACGUUAAAUCUUGUGUCGUUUAUUUUUCUGCGGUUGAUUGGUGGUUGUGUAUUGCUUUUCGCGUGCGUUUUUUCCCAUCAAAUAUAAAAAUUAAACAAAAAUAUAAAAAUUUUGGCGUCAUUUCGAGUGUGUUCAAAUUGUAAUUAUUCGGAUUUCAAAAGUUUUAUGGUAAAUGCCAAUGGUAUUGUAAAUUAAUAUCAAGUUAUUUCUAACUAAUUCUACUUAUUUGGUAUAUAACAUUUCAUCCCAUUAACUUAAUUUCACUCUUAUUGAUGUUCAAAACAUCAUUAUCAAUCCAAGAAACAUCAAUUAGUUCUUACAUAAUUAUCCUCUUUUGUAAAAAGCGAUGCAAAUAUUAAAAAUAUGGUGCAAAUGGUAGGAGCGGGGUGAAAAUAUUAAUAGUAUGACUGUUUCUUCCUACACCUCCAUACGUUUUUGUGUCACCCCAUAAAUUUUUGUAUUAAAAAAAUAUCUUUUUUUUUAAUAUUCUGGAUUACAUAAUCCACAAGUAUUUUUUUUAUAUUUGUAAUUAGUUUCUGGAUUAUGUAAUUUGGAAGUCUUUUGAGAUUACUUUCUAGAUUACAUAAUCCAUAAGUCUUUUCUAUACAUGAGAUUAUCUUCUGCAUUACAUAACUUAGAAGUCUUUUGUAGAUUUCAGAUUUUCUAGAUUUGAUAUUGGCUUUUGGAUUACGUAAUCCAAAAAUCUUUUUUCAAAUGUGUGAUUAGUUUUAGUAUGUCUGAUAAGUAUGUCUUCAUUAUCAUGCAUAUUAAUUUUAGUCAAAGUUGUUUCCAAGUCUUUAAUGACUUCCAUAUAAUUAGUAUACAAAAGCUAUAUCCAUUAUUUAUCACAUGAUAUAUUUAUUUUUAUUUACCUAACUCAAAGUACUAUUACAACUUCAAUAUCUUACCAAAUUACUAAUUAAUACUUACAAUUUUCAUUAAAAAAGUUCAAUGCUAAUUUUACUUUAUUUUAUUUGAUAAUCUUUAAUUAAAAAAUUAUAUAUAAUUAUUCCUUUAUUUGAUUACUGAAUAGCAAAAAUGUUCAUAUUAAAAAGGGAAAUAGAGAUACUUAUGUUGUAUUAAUCACUUUUAUAUAUUUCAACAUGAACAAUGUAUUUGUUCAUUGUUUCGGAAUAUUAUUAUUCUAUGACAGAGCUUGAAGCAUAGAACCAUAAAAUACAUUUAUUAAAAAGUUUAAAUAAGUAGAAUCAUUCACUCCUCUUAUAAGCUUAUAGAUUCCCUUCAAGACAAAUUACCUGCAA
This 7008-nucleotide long non-coding RNA is filed under the name Phaseolus vulgaris (common bean). RNAcentral's name for it is "long non-coding RNA (PVUL_LNC003752)". The record is from RNAcentral. Lineage: Eukaryota; Viridiplantae; Streptophyta; Magnoliopsida; Fabales; Fabaceae.